RNAcentral lists this ribosomal RNA (386 nucleotides) under Flexiseps johannae (Johanna's skink). RNAcentral's name for it is "partial 12S ribosomal RNA". It matches the Rfam family "Bacterial small subunit ribosomal RNA", at positions 854 to 1409 of the family's 1533-position model. Lineage: Eukaryota; Metazoa; Chordata; Lepidosauria; Squamata; Scincidae. The record is from RNAcentral.
CAAACACAAUACUGUCCGCCAGAGAACUACAAGCGAAAAACUAGAAACUCCAAGGACUUGGCGGUGCUCCACACCAACCUAGAGGAGCCUGUCCUAUAAUCGAUACUCCACGUUAAACCUUACCAUCUUUUGCCAUUCAGCCUAUAUACCGCCGUCGUCAGCCUACCUUAUGAAAGAGCUAUAGUAAGCAAAAUAGUUAACAACUAACACGUCAGGUCAAGGUGUAGCACAUGAGGUGGUAGAGAUGGGCUACAUUUUCUAUUACAGAACACACAAAUGGCACAAUGAAACAAGCGCCUGAAGGUGGAUUUAGUAGUAAGAUAGACAAGCAACACUAUCUUAAACCCGCUCUGGAGCGCGCACACACCGCCCGUCACCCUCAUCAC